UACGAUUUAUUUUAAUAAGAAUAUUUAUUUUUGGUAUAAAAGGUGUGAUCGUAA
Molecule: transfer RNA, 54 nt
Filed under: Gnathostoma nipponicum
Lineage: Eukaryota; Metazoa; Nematoda; Chromadorea; Rhabditida; Gnathostomatidae
Description: tRNA-Gln
Source: RNAcentral